Molecule: ribosomal RNA, 144 nt
Filed under: Priestia megaterium
Lineage: Bacteria; Bacillati; Bacillota; Bacilli; Caryophanales; Bacillaceae
Also listed under: 1 other name
Description: partial 23S ribosomal RNA
Rfam family: Bacterial large subunit ribosomal RNA
Source: RNAcentral
UAAGCAUGAAGCCCCCCUCAAGAUGAGAUUUCCCAUAGCGUAAGCUAGUAAGAUCCCUGAAAGAUGAUCAGGUUGAUAGGUCAGAGGUGGAAGCGUGGCGACAUGUGUAGCUGACUGAUACUAAUCGAUCGAGGACUUAACCAA